UACGGGGGGGGCAAGCGUUGUUCGGAAUUACUGGGCGUAAAGGGCUCGUAGGCGGCCAACUAAGUCAGACGUGAAAUCCCUCGGCUUAACCGGGGAACUGCCUCUGAUACUGGAUGGCUUGAGAUUGGGAGAGGGAUGCGGAAUUCCAGGUGUAGCGGUGAAAUGCGUAGAUAUCUGGAGGAACACCGGUGGCGAAGGCGGCAUCCUGGACCAACACUGACGCUGAGGAGCGAAAGCCAGGGGAGCAAACGGG
This 253-nucleotide ribosomal RNA is filed under the name uncultured bacterium. RNAcentral describes it as "partial 16S ribosomal RNA". It matches the Rfam family "Bacterial small subunit ribosomal RNA", at positions 524 to 776 of the family's 1533-position model. The record is from RNAcentral.